RNAcentral lists this ribosomal RNA (253 nucleotides) under uncultured bacterium. Its description in RNAcentral is "partial 16S ribosomal RNA". It matches the Rfam family "Bacterial small subunit ribosomal RNA", at positions 524 to 776 of the family's 1533-position model. The record is from RNAcentral.
UACAGAGGGUGCGAGCGUUAAUCGGAAUUACUGGGCGUAAAGCGCGCGUAGGCGGCUUUGCAAGUCGGGUGUGAAAUCCCCAGGCUUAACCUGGGAACUGCAUUCGAGACUGCAUUGCUAGAGUAUGGGAGAGGGGAGUGGAAUUUCCGGUGUAGCGGUGAAAUGCGUAGAUAUCGUAAGGAAGACCAGUGGCGAAGGCGGGUCUCUGGACAGUUCCUGACGCUGAGGCACGAAGGUCAGGGGAGCAAACGGG